RNAcentral lists this ribosomal RNA (465 nucleotides) under Vreelandella stevensii. RNAcentral describes it as "partial 16S ribosomal RNA". It matches the Rfam family "Bacterial small subunit ribosomal RNA", at positions 338 to 795 of the family's 1533-position model. The record is from RNAcentral. Lineage: Bacteria; Pseudomonadati; Pseudomonadota; Gammaproteobacteria; Oceanospirillales; Halomonadaceae.
CCUACGGGGGGCAGCAGUGGGGAAUAUUGGACAAUGGGGGGAACCCUGAUCCAGCCAUGCCGCGUGUGUGAAGAAGGCCCUCGGGUUGUAAAGCACUUUCAGUGAGGAAGAACGCCUGGUGGUUAAUACCCAUCAGGAAAGACAUCACUCACAGAAGAAGCACCGGCUAACUCCGUGCCAGCAGCCGCGGUAAUACGGAGGGUGCGAGCGUUAAUCGGAAUUACUGGGCGUAAAGCGCGCGUAGGUGGCUUGAUAAGCCGGUUGUGAAAGCCCCGGGCUCAACCUGGGAACGGCAUCCGGAACUGUCAAGCUAGAGUGCAGGAGAGGAAGGUAGAAUUCCCGGUGUAGCGGUGAAAUGCGUAGAGAUCGGGAGGAAUACCAGUGGCGAAGGCGGACUUCUGGACUGACACUGACACUGAGGUGCGAAAGCGUGGGUAGCAAACAGGAUUAGAUACCCUAGUAGUC